AAAGUAUGAUGGCUAAAAGCGUAUUUUGUGGUGUUUGUGAGCAUUCCGCAGAUGUUUUCCACUUUGGUGCAAUUUGUUAGCGUGUGCUGCAUUUUUCCGGCGACUAGUUUCUCGAAGCAAAACGCCAACGGCAAUAUGUUCUGGAAAUUGCGAUUUAAGAAAUAAAAUAAUCAGAAAGCUUUGCUCAAGUUGCCGGUACCAAAAAUGUCUUCAAAUUGGGAUGAAGGAGUCAUUAGUGAAAUCUAAGAAACAGAAAACUUCGAGCUCCGAGAAAACUAUUCUGGAAGAGUUGAACGAAGCGUACCAAAAUCUACUCGACUUGAGGAAAGAAACAUUUCGAAACCAGGAAGCUAAACUGACAUAUUUCGAGGAAAUGGAUGAUGUGUGUUCAGUGGAUCUUAGUUUAGUAGUGGAGACAUUGGUGAGAACAUUUUAUAAAAUGGCGCCAAUGGAAGAUGAUCAGCAGAGGCUUCUUGUCAAAAAUUUUCUGGUGGAGUUUAUGCUGAUGGAUAUGUCAUUCAGAUCAAUAGAUUCCAAUGUGAUCAUUCUUGCUAACGGGAACUAUGUGGAUGUUAAAAAUUUAGACGAGCACUUUCAAAGCACCAAAAUAGUUUCCGACGAGUCAAAAGCUGCUGAAGCUAAACUCUAUCUGAAAUCAUAUUGGGAAAUGGCUGAAAGUCAGCUCGUGGGAAGGUUUCAAGAACUUCGAGUUGAUCGUAAUGAGCAUUUAUUGUUGUGUGCCCUUCUUUAUUGGGAUUUCGGUCUGGAAAACCAAUCAGAAGAAAGUUCGGAAAUUUGUUUGAAGUUGCGAUCCAGAAUAUUCAAGGAGUUAUCGAAUUACGAAAGAAAGCAAUCGUCAACAGAGAAACAGUUUUCAAGGACCGGAGACCUUAUUCUAAUACUUCAAAUAAUUGAUAAACAAAUGGUUUCAAUGUACGAGUAUAAAACAGUAUCCAUAAUUUAUGAUUUAUGUGCAAAAAAUUGUCCACUUUUUCGAAUUUAAUAGCUUUUAUAAAUUUUCUAUUG
Molecule: unclassified non-coding RNA, 1026 nt
Filed under: Caenorhabditis elegans
Lineage: Eukaryota; Metazoa; Nematoda; Chromadorea; Rhabditida; Rhabditidae
Description: Non-coding transcript of protein-coding gene nhr-238
Source: RNAcentral